AACGAACGCUGGCGGCAUGCCUAACACAUGCAAGUCGAACGAGCCCUUCGGGUCUAGUGGCGCCCGGGUGCGUAACGCGUGGGAACCUGCCCUUAGGUUCGGCAUACCUCCCCGAAAGGGGUGCUAAUACCGGAUAAUGUCUUCGGACCAAAGAUUUAUCGCCUUUGGAUGGGCCCGCGUUGGAUUAGCUAGUUGGUAGGGUAAAAGCCUACCAAGGCGACGAUCCAUAGCUGGUUUGAGAGGAUGAUCAGCCACACUGGGAGUGAGACACGGCCCAGACUCCUACGGGAGGCAGCAGUGGGGAAUAUUGGACAAUGGGCGAAAGCCUGAUCCAGCAAGGCCGCGUGAGUGAUGAAGGCAUUAGGGUUGUAAAGCUCUUUUAACCGGGAUGAUAAUGACAGUACCGGGAGAAUAAGCUCCGGCUAACUCCGUG
Molecule: ribosomal RNA, 433 nt
Filed under: uncultured bacterium
Lineage: Bacteria
Description: partial 16S ribosomal RNA
Rfam family: Bacterial small subunit ribosomal RNA
Source: RNAcentral